CCGAGGCCGCCGGGCUCCUGGGAAAGGCACCCCUCCGCCCCAGGCCGCCUCGUGCUUAUGGCGCCGCCCCAGUCUUCCAAAUAGCUAACCUCGAACUAGGUGGGUCACUACCGCGCGAAGGCAAAUGACCUUCAAGGUCAGAAGCAAGCAAACCGUGGUCUCAACUCUCAGCUGGAAGUUGCCGGGAGAUCACUGUCGCUAGCGCCUGACAAGACGCGGCCCCCUGCGCCACCCCGUGGGAACCAAGGGUACCAAAACCUCCCGGGGAGACCGGCCUUGGACAAGAGAACGUUCCUCGCAAGCGGAUUUUUUUCCUCAUAUCGCUCUUUUUAAAGACUUUGUCUCUCUUGUCUCCCAAUCAAGAGAAUGAUUUGACUCUACCCUGUCCAUCCUAUCUACGCCCCGCUACCCCAACAGUUGAUUGCAUCCAUGGACACAGAGCCCAAGGAUACAGAGGGCCUUGACUUUGAAUAAAUGAGACAGGAUCCUUAAGAAUUAUGCUAAAUCUACUUUGCCUGUGCUCUAUAAAUGGAACAACAAGCCUGGAUUACAGCAUAUCUGUUUACCACAUGGUUUUCUGAAUAUUUUAAGCCCAUUGUUGAGAUCUCCUGCUCAGAAGAAAAGAUUGCUUUCAAAAUAUGACUGCUCAUUGUCAAAGCACCUGGUCACCCAAGAGCUCUGAUGGAGAGAUACUGAAACUGCCACCAGGUGGGAGAAGUUAACUUCGUGCUGCCCACAAGCACAUAGACCCCAGACCAGCUGGAACCAGAAGGUUGGUGAUGUUGACUCCUGAUUACUUCACCACCAGCCAGUCAGAAGAAUGUCUAGGAGCGGAUCAGAUUUAACAGAUCCUUAAAUUCACUUUACUGUACUGUAUACUUCCUUCUGGCAAUCGAGCUUUGGCACAUGCGUUUUCAGACUUCAUUGAGGAACUCCAGAUUGAGACACGCUGGAAUGUGGAUUGAGUCCAUGGUCAGAGAAGAUGGAUUAAAUGGGAACAAAACGGGAAACGUGUGCUUGAAGUCUAACAGCAGGUGCUGGGCAGGGAGAAGGUGCAUGAUUUAAUUUGGAAAAUCUGAUUUCCUCAUGCUGGUCUCAUUCUGCACUACCACCCUGUGGAGGGCCCAUUUCUAAACAGACACAUUCAUGACGGAGGGCAAGGUCACCUGUGUGUGGACAAGAUUUAUCUUUUUACAGACUGGUAAUAUCUCUGCAACCGAGUCCUAGUACAAAUACAAUUUUGAGGGGAAAAGGAAAGGAACAUUUAAAUGCCUCUAGCUAGAUUCUCACUGACUUUAUUUAAAAUAAUGUAAAUGGAUGCUAAGUGAAAACAGGACCAUAACGGAAUCAUAGCUGUAAAGAAAACAAUUUAAUGCCAAAUGCCAGAUGCUUAAGUUUCUAGGUGAGAGACAUUCCAGAAUUCACUGUAAGCAUUUAAAAAAGUGUGUGCCUAAGCUUGACGUUUUGUGGGUUGACUACCUUAUCUUUCUACGUAAGCAAGAGACACCAGAGAGUUACUGGGAAACCGUGUCAUCUUGUUUCACAGACCGAAGUAGCCUUUGGUUCAUCCAGAACAUCCCAUCCUCUGGACCUUCAGGACUGUAUCAUUGGGAGCAGAAAGGGCCAGGAGUGCCACACUAAGAAACAACCACCGGCAGGAACAGACUUGAAAUGGAAGCUGGGUUUGCUCUGAGGCCCUCGGCUGACAGUGACCACACCUGCUGGGUGCUGAGGGCGGUGCACAGGGAACAGAUGGCCUCUGCAUCUUCGGGGCUUUUCUUCUUUAACUGCAGGAGCUGGGCUGCUUGGAUCAGAGGUUCCAUGGUCUCAGCAACUUCCCUCUGGUGCAGGUUUCUUCCCCGAAGCCACUCCUCCAGCUGACUUAUAUUGUACCUUAGACACAGGAAAAGUGAGUUCUGUUAAACCUGGCCGCCUACUUCACUGGGAAGAGCUCACCUCUUGUGUUUAUUUUGCAGGCCAGCUGCCGUUAGUGUUAUCAUUCUCCUCAUCUUAACUGUCCCACAUGGGCAAAAGCGUGAAAAGUACCUGGCACUCAAUAACUUUUUGUGAAAUGAGUGGGUGCUUAAAAUCAAGCCAAGAUGAAGUAUCUAAAGUGUCUGUACUAAGUUAAUGAGAAAAAAAGGCAUUAACUAUAUUGAAUUAAAACAACUUACCAUUUAACAUUCGCAAACAUGUUUGUACUUCCCUGUGAGCCUUCGUGCCUCUUAAGUCAGUAAUUUUUCUCUCUGACCUAUCCACCUCAUAUUUACAACCUUCGUAUCCAAGUAUGUAAACGUGUUUAAGCGCUGAACUAACUUGUUUACCGGGUCACCAUCUCUGUGUGUGAUGAAUUUCACCAGCCAAUAAGAAGGUGAUGGAUCUGAGUCUCAUACUGACUGUGACAAGGACGCUCAGUUGCAUUUGGAUUUCAGUUUCAGAGACAAGUGUCCCGUGCCCGACUGGGGCUGGUGUGUGCCGGGCCAAGGCGCCUCUCGUACCUGAGCUGCAUGCCUGUGCUCCAGGAGCAGACGUCCUUCCUCAGAAGCAGGUUGUUGAGCGUCACCGCGUUGAUCAUGUAGAAGAGCUGUUUGAACACCUGCAGGAUGAUCUCGGGGUCCAGGCCCUGGUCGCACAUGACUGUGUGGAAGGAAUUCAUCUGGCGGAUGACGGCUCCCAGGCAGUAGGAGUUAUCUCCAUCCGCCAGGCUGGAGGUGCGCUUCCGGUAGCCCGUGGGCUUCACCCCAGACAGACCCUGAAUGCUCUCGUUCUCCAACAUGGCAGACACUGAAAGAAAAGCAUGAUUAGAGAAGCUGCAUGUUCCCAAAGAAGAUCUGUUUUCGGGUCACUGAGAUCACACAGUACUCAGGGCUUUGGCAGUGAUCCCACCCAGAGGUGAACAAGGUCGACGUGCUCAGGAACUUACAGCAUUUGGCAUGGAAUUUCUAACCUGUUGAUUUCUACACAGAAUAGGACUUCCACACAGAAAUCUUGGACUAAACCUGUGGACCAAAUUUUUGCGUAAAUUUAUUGGUGAUGGGACAGAGGUAAAAGGCACGUACCGACUUAAUUCUGUUCUGGCUUCUGUGCUGCGAGACCAAAAUGGAGCAACUUGGGUGUAGUCAUGGCCCAGCCACUGCCCUGGGCCUGGACCCUGAGAUCAGCCUAUAGGUGUUCAAAUAGCUUUUCUCCAUCAGCCACCGACCAUGUAAAUCCUAGGUGAGCUGGUCUGUCAUACUUACUGCCCAGCACUUAACUACAGGUCAGGCACUUUAUAUUCAGUAUUCCUUUUAGUCUUCCAACAACCCAUUUCCUAAUGAGGAGACUGAGGCAUAAAGAGGUUAAAUAACUUGCCCAAGGUCACCCUGCUAGGAAGUGGCAGGGCCAGGAUUUGAACCCAGGUAUGUCUGAUUCCAGAACUGAUGCUGCUAACCAUCAUCUUACCUGAGUCAUGAAACAUCCCCAGUUCUCCCUGUCUGGUGAGAAUAAACUGGCGCCUCAUAAGAGUCUCAGACAGGAAGAAGGAUUUGGAAUGAAUCUUAUCCCAAGGGGUAUAUUUCUGGAUGGCAUGUAGGACUCUGUCCUACUUGGAAUUCACUUGUAACCUACUUGUGUUGUAAGAACCUGGGGAAAGAAUUACUUACAUGGUCCAGGAGACUAUUUCCUCAACAGCCUGUAAGGAGCACAGUGAGCGAUGCAUAUACGUGUCACUUUUCUCGUGACUUAAAAAAUAACUGCUCUGAUUUUCAAAUCUGAUUUCAUGUUAAGUGCCCAAGUGUACUGCUUUGGACAGAAUGUUUAAUAAAUAUUUAUUGCACGA
Long non-coding RNA from Globicephala melas (long-finned pilot whale), 3817 nucleotides. RefSeq lists it as uncharacterized. Lineage: Eukaryota; Metazoa; Chordata; Mammalia; Artiodactyla; Delphinidae. The record is from RefSeq and is a predicted model, not a curated record.